GGGGACGACAGGCUUCGACGUGGUCGGUUCCGUGGGUGUGGUUGCGAGCCGAGGUCCCGGAGGCCUCGUAAAACCCCGGGAAAACCAUACGUGCGGACUCUCACGAGUACGCCCUCGCCGCUUAGUCAAUAGCUAAGCCGUGAGGUCCGGGCCCCCAACGCCUGCUAGGGGCCCACCCGGAUCAUCAAGCAGGCUCACCCGGUGAGGUCCGUCCUCGCCGAUCCGGGGACAGUUCAGAGGACUGGGUCCUGGCAACCCCGCCGGCGAGGCGACCCGGGACCGAGAUCAGAGCGCCGGCUACGCUCGUAGAAGCCACAUCAACGCGAUCGCGGACGCGGGUUCAAUUCCCGCCGUCUCCACUU
RNAcentral lists this transfer-messenger RNA (362 nucleotides) under Solirubrobacteraceae. Its description in RNAcentral is "AC-49 sp005883905 Standard tmRNA". It matches the Rfam family "transfer-messenger RNA". From Rfam's summary of the family: Bacterial tmRNA, also known as 10Sa RNA or SsrA, is named for its dual tRNA and mRNA-like properties. Its role is to liberate the mRNA from a stalled ribosome. The record is from RNAcentral. RNAcentral also lists the same sequence under 1 other name. Lineage: Bacteria; Bacillati; Actinomycetota; Thermoleophilia; Solirubrobacterales.